CCUUCGGGUGUGACUGCGUACCUUUUGUAUAAUGGGUCAGCGACUUAUAUUCUGUAGCAAGGUUAACCGUAUAGGGGAGCCGCAGGGAAACCGAGUCUUAACUGGGCGUUAAGUUGCAGGGUAUAGACCCGAAACCCGGUGAUCUAGCCAUGGGCAGGUUGAAGGUUGGGUAACACUAACUGGAGGACCGAACCGACUAAUGUUGAAAAAUUAGCGGAUGACUUGUGGCUGGGGGGGAAAGGCCAAUCAAACCGGGAGAUAGCUGGUUCUCCCCGAAAGCUAUUUAGGUAGCGCCUCGUGAACUCAUCUUCGGGGGUAGAGCACUGUUUCGGCUAGGGGGUCAUCCCGACUUACCAACCCGAUGCAAACUACGAAUACCGAAGAAUGUUAUCACGGGAGACACACGGCGGGUGCUAACGUCCGUCGUGAAGAGGGAAACAACCCAGACCGCCAGCUAAGGUCCCAAAGUCAUGGUUAAGUGGGAAACGAUGUGGGAAGGCACAGACAGCCAGGAUGUUGGCUUAGAAGCAGCCAUCAUUUAAAGAAAGCGUAAUAGCUCACUGGUCGAGUCGGCCUGCGCGGAAGAUGUAACGGGGCUAAACCAUGCACCGAAGCUG
RNAcentral lists this ribosomal RNA (617 nucleotides) under Klebsiella pneumoniae. RNAcentral describes it as "partial 23S ribosomal RNA". It matches the Rfam family "Bacterial large subunit ribosomal RNA", at positions 582 to 1202 of the family's 2925-position model. Lineage: Bacteria; Pseudomonadati; Pseudomonadota; Gammaproteobacteria; Enterobacterales; Enterobacteriaceae. The record is from RNAcentral.